CAGUAGGGCCCAAAUAGCCUAAAGGCAUCAAAUCCCAUCUGAUCUGGGAAGCUAAGUAGGAUCAGCUCAAUUUAGUACUCGGAUGGGAGACUGCCAGUGAAUACCAGGUGCUUUAGGCU
Molecule: ribosomal RNA, 119 nt
Filed under: Anolis carolinensis (green anole)
Lineage: Eukaryota; Metazoa; Chordata; Lepidosauria; Squamata; Anolidae
Source: RNAcentral